Molecule: long non-coding RNA, 709 nt
Organism: Syzygium oleosum
Lineage: Eukaryota; Viridiplantae; Streptophyta; Magnoliopsida; Myrtales; Myrtaceae
Exons: 2
Source: RefSeq, a predicted model, not a curated record
GCCGGAAACCCAAAAUCGAAAUUCCCGGUGGUUGUACUUCUUCGGUGGGUUAAUAGAUUUCCAGUCCGCAUCGGCAAUGUUUUCUAGCGAAGUCAAUGACCGCAGGCCCACUUUCCCGUGCUUGUCCACGGUGAGAUGUCCCUUUUCUUCUGGCUAUGUUUGUUUCAUUACCUGUGAUAACCAGAAGCCGAACCAGAAGUAGAUUGCCAACCAAAGUACGCAUUGUAUUUGGCAGACUCGCCACCCUUAACAUUCGGGACAGAAUAAACUCCUCUGUCGACGGUGGCGACAUAAUCGGAUUGCAAAGCACCGGCGAUGAGAGUGUCGUCCCAAGCGGUCAUGUGGGGGUAGGCUUCACUCGGUGGGCAUGUCGACGUGUCGCAUUUGGAGCAUUGCCUGCACAGAAGCUCGCUCUUCAGCGGUAUAUCUCCAGCACCGUCAGCGGCUGAGCCGCAGAUCACCAUAGCAAGCAGGUAUAAAGAGAACAGAAAGAAGUGUCUGUCCAUGAUGGUUGGAUUGUUUUCUUUGGCUGGUCGUUCUUUUCGAAUAGAGUUUGCCAGAUUAUAUACACUUCUUAUGUUCUUGAACUAAUCGAUUUCGUUCUUUUCCCCCAUCGUGUUUGAUCGAUUGGGACAAAAUAUAGUUGGACUUUGUUCCAUGUGAAUAUUUUUUGAUUGUUGGGCAUUGAUAAUUACGAAUUUUUCAGCUG